Non-coding RNA from Oryza glumipatula, 203 nucleotides. The record is from Rfam. Lineage: Eukaryota; Viridiplantae; Streptophyta; Magnoliopsida; Poales; Poaceae.
AAAAAGAGAAAUACUGUUUUCCGUGUCCAAUGUUUGACCGUCCAUCUUAUUUAAAAAAAUUAUAAAAAAAUUAAAAAAAUAACUCACGCAUAAAAUAUUAAUCAUGUUUUAUCAUCUAACAACAAUAAAAAUACAAAUUAUAGAAAAUUUCAUAUAAGACGGACAGUCAAAGUUGGACACGGAAACUCAGAGUUUGCUUUUUU